GGGGCUGAUUCUGGAUUCGACGGGAUUUGCGAAACCCAAGGUGCAUGCCGAGGGGCGGUUGGCCUCGUAAAAAGCCGCAAAAAAUAGUCGCAAACGACGAAAACUACGCUUUAGCAGCUUAAUAACCUGCUUAGAGCCCUCUCUCCCUAGCCUCCGCUCUUAGGACGGGGAUCAAGAGAGGUCAAACCCAAAAGAGAUCGCGUGGAAGCCCUGCCUGGGGUUGAAGCGUUAAAACUUAAUCAGGCUAGUUUGUUAGUGGCGUGUCCGUCCGCAGCUGGCAAGCGAAUGUAAAGACUGACUAAGCAUGUAGUACCGAGGAUGUAGGAAUUUCGGACGCGGGUUCAACUCCCGCCAGCUCCACUU
RNAcentral lists this transfer-messenger RNA (363 nucleotides) under Escherichia coli. RNAcentral describes it as "Standard tmRNA". It matches the Rfam family "transfer-messenger RNA". From Rfam's summary of the family: Bacterial tmRNA, also known as 10Sa RNA or SsrA, is named for its dual tRNA and mRNA-like properties. Its role is to liberate the mRNA from a stalled ribosome. Lineage: Bacteria; Pseudomonadati; Pseudomonadota; Gammaproteobacteria; Enterobacterales; Enterobacteriaceae. The record is from RNAcentral. RNAcentral also lists the same sequence under 3 other names.